AAAUUUAUAGUAAGAGGAAAAUCCGUCGAUUUCAAAAAUCAUGAGGGUUCAAGUCCCUCUAUCCCCA
RNAcentral lists this transfer RNA (67 nucleotides) under Antennaria dioica. Its description in RNAcentral is "partial tRNA-Leu". Lineage: Eukaryota; Viridiplantae; Streptophyta; Magnoliopsida; Asterales; Asteraceae. The record is from RNAcentral. RNAcentral also lists the same sequence under 85 other names.